GGGGGCGAACUGGAUUCGACGGAGAUAAUGAAACAGAGGUUGCAUGUCGAGGCUCCACCCACCUCGUUAAAAAGGUGGACAAAACUAAGUGCAGAACCACUGCCACUUGCUGCCUAAAUAGUAGGCAUGCCGUUUCUCUUGCGCUUUCCUGCAGCGCUUGAGAGGCGUCGACAAGCAGGAUAGCAAGUCAGGCCCGCCCUGAGCCUGGUGAGCGAAAAAACAUCAGGACUGGUUCCAUGGUAUCUUUCUUCUUCAGAAGCCGUGGGAUGAGAUUUGAGAAGAGGAUAUGCAUGUAGAGACCUUCUGUUGAAUGUCUUCGGACGCGGGUUCGAUUCCCGCCGCCUCCAGUA
This 350-nucleotide transfer-messenger RNA is filed under the name Candidatus Aminicenantota bacterium. RNAcentral describes it as "Candidatus Aminicenantes bacterium transfer-messenger RNA". It matches the Rfam family "transfer-messenger RNA". From Rfam's summary of the family: Bacterial tmRNA, also known as 10Sa RNA or SsrA, is named for its dual tRNA and mRNA-like properties. Lineage: Bacteria; Candidatus Aminicenantota. The record is from RNAcentral.